CACACAUACACACACACACACGCACACACACACACACACACACACCUGAGCAUGAACUCAGUCUGUCCUCUGUCAUCACACCAGAUCUGUUUGCGCAAACCUUUUGGUCUGCAGCACAGGGGCAGAGGAGGCUUCAGUUCCACAUUUGUUUAUUUAUUUAUUUGCAACCUCUUGUUUACCAUUUGCUGUUUGUCUUUUCUUUCCUUGUUCUUCAUUUGUUCUUUCCUUGUUUCUUUGUUUGUUUGUUACUGGAACGGAAGUGCCCGGGGGCUGCAAACAUUGUUCUCAAUUGUGUGUGUGUGUGUGUGUGUGUGUGAGUGUGUGUCUGUUGUGAUAUUUUUUCAUCUGUUUUUCAUUAGCCUGCCAUUGUUUCCCAGCACACCACAAUGUUCUGAAGAUAGCCUAAAUAGAGUUGACUGAAGUCUAGUAGUUGUGUUCUAGCUGUACUGUGCUGUUAUAUUUUUGUAUGUAUGUGUAGGUGUAGAUAUUGACGAUGAAUGUGUCAAGACCAAUGACCAUAAAAGAAAAUGUAAAGCAUUAAAUUAAAAUGUGAAUUUACACAA
This is a long non-coding RNA of Alosa sapidissima (American shad), 563 nucleotides long. RefSeq lists it as uncharacterized. The transcript has 2 exons. NCBI's taxonomy places the organism in Eukaryota, Metazoa, Chordata, Actinopteri, Clupeiformes, Clupeidae. The record is from RefSeq and is a predicted model, not a curated record.